RNAcentral lists this ribosomal RNA (422 nucleotides) under Lancefieldella rimae. RNAcentral's name for it is "bacterial SSU rRNA". It matches the Rfam family "Bacterial small subunit ribosomal RNA", at positions 28 to 448 of the family's 1533-position model. Lineage: Bacteria; Bacillati; Actinomycetota; Coriobacteriia; Coriobacteriales; Atopobiaceae. The record is from RNAcentral.
GAUGAACGCUGGCGGCGCGCCUAACACAUGCAAGUCGAACGGUUAAAGCACCUUUUAGGUGUGUAUAAAGUGGCGAACGGCUGAGUAACACGUGGGCAACCUGCCCUCCUCUUGGGGAUAGCCUCGGGAAACCGAGGAUAAUACCCGAUACUUCAAUGUGGCCGCAUGGCGACAUUGAGAAAGCUUUUGCGGAGAAGGACGGGCCCGCGGCCUGUUAGCUUGUUGGUGGGGUAGAGGCCUACCAAGGCAAUGAUGGGUAGCUGGGUUGAGAGACCGACCAGCCAGAUUGGGACUGAGACACGGCCCAGACUCCUACGGGAGGCAGCAGUGGGGAAUCUUGCACAAUGGGCGAAAGCCUGAUGCAGCGACGCCGCGUGCGGGACGAAGGCCUUCGGGUUGUAAACCGCUUUCAGCAGGGACGA